UUUUAACUCAUUUGGGCAGAAGAUAUUAAUGAGUUGUAAACGUCCAUUGUUUCCUUGGAAAUAAGCAGGUUAGUUUACUCCUAAACUCUCUGCUCCUCUCUCCAUUCUGUCUCCCAAACACUGUUUUCAAGCACCCUUGCUGAGGACCACCUACACAUUCUCUGGGGCCACCCAGGCCCUGCACAGCUGUUUUGCUGCAGCAGAUUCACUAUCCGAAGUAUUGUGCCUGAUCCUUGGCUUGUUGCAGACCUGUGGAACACCCCCAGGGGCCUCCUGUUCCGAGACUGAAUGUGGCGGGCCAAACUGCAGAACUGACGAAGGAGAGAAGAAGUGUGGGGGGCCUGGCUGUGGUGGUCUGGUUACUGUUGCACACAACGCCUGGCAGAAAGCCAUGGACUUGGACCAAGAUGUCCUGAGUGCCCUGGCUGAAGUGGAACAGCUCUCCAAGAUGGUCUCUGAAGCAAAACUGAGGGCAGAUGAGGCAAAACAGAGUGCUGAAGACAUUCUGUUGAAGACAAAUGCUACCAAAGAAAAAAUGGACAAGAGCAAUGAGGAGCUGAGAAAUCUAAUCAAGCAAAUCAGAAACUUUUUGACC
Molecule: small RNA, 595 nt
Filed under: Pan troglodytes (chimpanzee)
Lineage: Eukaryota; Metazoa; Chordata; Mammalia; Primates; Hominidae
Description: processed transcript
Source: RNAcentral